This 465-nucleotide ribosomal RNA is filed under the name uncultured Klebsiella sp. RNAcentral describes it as "bacterial SSU rRNA". It matches the Rfam family "Bacterial small subunit ribosomal RNA", at positions 338 to 795 of the family's 1533-position model. Lineage: Bacteria; Pseudomonadati; Pseudomonadota; Gammaproteobacteria; Enterobacterales; Enterobacteriaceae. The record is from RNAcentral.
CCUACGGGUGGCAGCAGUGGGGAAUAUUGCACAAUGGGCGCAAGCCUGAUGCAGCCAUGCCGCGUGUGUGAAGAAGGCCUUCGGGUUGUAAAGCACUUUCAGCGGGGAGGAAGGCGGUGAGGUUAAUAACCUCAUCGAUUGACGUUACCCGCAGAAGAAGCACCGGCUAACUCCGUGCCAGCAGCCGCCGUAAUACGGAGGGUGCAAGCGUUAAUCGGAAUUACUGGGCGUAAAGCGCACGCAGGCGGUCUGUCAAGUCGGAUGUGAAAUCCCCGGGCUCAACCUGGGAACUGCAUUCGAAACUGGCAGGCUAGAGUCUUGUAGAGGGGGGUAGAAUUCCAGGUGUAGCGGUGAAAUGCGUAGAGAUCUGGAGGAAUACCGGUGGCGAAGGCGGCCCCCUGGACAAAGACUGACGCUCAGGUGCGAAAGCGUGGGGAGCAAACAGGAUUAGAUACCCCGGUAGUC